Molecule: ribosomal RNA, 392 nt
Filed under: uncultured bacterium
Lineage: Bacteria
Description: bacterial SSU rRNA
Rfam family: Bacterial small subunit ribosomal RNA
Source: RNAcentral
GACGAACGCUGGCGGAAUGCUUUACACAUGCAAGUCGAGCGGCAGCGCGGGGGCAACCCUGGCGGCGAGCGGCGAACGGGUGAGUAAUACAUCGGAACGUGUCCUUAAGUGGGGGAUAGCUCGGCGAAAGCCGGAUUAAUACCGCAUAAGCUCUGAGGAGGAAAGCGGGGGAUUCGCAAGGACCUCGCGCUGUUGGAGCGGCCGAUGUCGGAUUAGCUAGUUGGUGGGGUAAAGGCCCACCAAGGCGACGAUCCGUAGCUGGUCUGAGAGGAUGAUCAGCCACACUGGAACUGAGACACGGUCCAGACUCCUACGGGAGGCAGCAGUGGGGAAUUUUGGACAAUGGGGGCAACCCUGAUCCAGCCAUUCCGCGUGAGUGAAGAAGGCCUUGG